GGGGGUGGGCUGGGGGGGGGGGGGCUGGCGCGGCCGACCGAGCUUUGGCCGCGCUCUCCAGGCACGGUGGGGCGCACUCCGACCCUCAAGAGAAAAACCACGCGGAAAAUGGCGCCUUAAAGUGCCCGCGCCCACCUUUCCGAAGUGCGCGGCCCAGUGCACGGGCGUCCAGCCGUAGAAGGAGUCCUCGGCGGCCAGGUUCUCACGUGGGGAAGUCAAGGCAGCAGGACCUAAAAACAGCCGGUCAUGUCACAUACACAGUCUGGAGCAGAGAGUAAUGAAUACAUGGAGUUUCCUGAGAGGCUCGGAGCUCCCUGUUGGCUGUGAAUGUCCACGUAAUGAAGUCCAAGGGACCGACAUCUCCCUUUAACAGCUAAGCUGGGGACCAAAACCAGGACCUUGCGCUUGCUAGGCAAGCACUCCACCACUGAGCUAAAUCCCCAACCCCCCUUCCUUUUCUUAAGGCCCAGGCUGGCCUUGAACUCUGUAGCUGAGGACAACCUCCACCUACGAACUGGCUGAGAUUACAGGCGUGCAUCACCAUGCGUGGAUUAUGUAGUGCUGGGGUUGGACCCAGGGCGUUGUACAUGCUCUGAGAGCACCCUGCCCACUGAGCUAGAUCUUCAGCCCAGACGACAAUGUUUUCAUGGUUUUGCUUUCCGUUUCUCCCUCCUUUCCCUCCUCCUCUCUGAUGAUUCACAUGUGCGUCUGCCCCAGGAGAGCACCCCUUGACACGGCGUGAUGUGCAGCCAGGCCCCUGGGCGGUCUGCGGCAGGGCGAGUCUGCACAUAGCAUCAACCAUCAUGGCCCUAGCUUUGCUUUCUCCCCCAGCUAGGGGGACGGAGAGCACCUGAGGCAGGAAGAGUGGCGAAAGGCAGCAGAUAUCUCUGUCCCCAAACAGUGACUUCAGGUGGUUUUGGUUUCUGGACCCUUUCAAAACUUGUAGUGGGUAGCCAUUCCAGCUUUGGUCUGGAAGUUCCAACCCCCAUUGAGGCUUCUGUAACUAUCACGCCUACAAGGCGGGGCCAAGAGAGGAUGCUGAAGACCCGAGAUUCGGAUGCGCCACCUUCGCUCUGUUCCUGGACCCUCGACGGUGGUGGAGGUUGACCGAGCAGAGUUCUCCAGAGAACACCGCUGGGCUGCGACACACCUUCCCCAGAACCUGCGACCUACCUAUCCCGUCAUUUGAAAAACCAGCCGAUUCAACCCCCGAUUGGACUCCGUCAGAUCUUAACCCCAGCCUCUGAAGAGUUCUAAAGCAUCCUUGACGUGGCUUCUGCAGAUGUUGGUUCAAGAACAGGAACUGGGCUUCAUGUCACUCCACCUCACAGGACCUCAGGACACCUCAGACAGAAAGUGACUCCCCUUCUUCCCACUGCACUGUGCUUGUUUUUAGCCAAAGCCACAGAUGAGUGACCUAGGCUCAGAGAGUGAGCUAGGCUCUGUUUUCUGUCUCAUCGUUGAGUGUGAUCUGAAAGGUACACACUCCAUCGCAUCUAACCUCACCUGCCUUCGCCACCGACAUUAAAGUGGGGUGUGCUCUCUCCUCUUCCGCACGGUCACAUCUUGGCCCCUGAGGAUGGGGUCCUCCAUCAGUAAUCCCUCUGUCCCAACUGAAAGCCGCUUCCUUGAGAAGAGAACCUGUGAAUGCCCGUGCAAAAGAUGGCUGAGUGAUGCAACCCAGCAACACCUCCGGAAAAUAGUCCCGUUAUGUCCACGUUCUAGAACUUUUAGCAGAAAAGCUAGGGCGAAUGAAUGGGCGUCCAAGGACACAGGGGUAGUGUAAAUCUGUGAGUGAUCACAGCUGAGGUUAGCUGGCUGUGCACGCCUGUGGAACUCGAUUGUGCACUGACAAUAGGCUUAGGGGUGUGAGUGACAUGUCAGCAAGCCUCACCCCCAUAAAUACGUAUAUAUGUAUACAUAGGUAUUCAUGCACAUGCCUGUGUUCACAAACAUGAAUAAAGUGAAUAGAAGUGGAUGUGCUGCUUCUCAUUAGCAUCAUUAAGGAAGUGAAAAUAACCUCAGUGGCUGGGAACAGACACUAAAUUCAACCAGACGAGUUAAAUCUUCCGUGCUCACUCUCUGUGAUGGUGGUUGUGUCGAUCAUUUGCUAAACCACUGAGCCACGAAGAGGACUCAUCCAUCUCCCUCUCCUUUAGCUGGCUACCGAGUCCCGGAAGCACGGGCUUUCCCAGCAGACAAGGCCUGGUCUCCACACUGUGCACUCAGCCCUGUCUGGAAGCUUCUAUCCGGGACCAUCUCAGCAUGAGGUCCGGGUCCAGCAUAGUCCCUCAAGGCCAGUGACGUGGUGUCUCCUCCUGGUCCAGCUUGUCCUGUGACACUUCUGCUGUGGAAGCCCUUGAGCAGAGCCGGAAGGGACAAGCAGGUGACACCUCUCAGCUGUCUCUGUUUUCUCAUCUGUCUAACAAACAGUGACAAGAACCAUGCAGUACUAACACCUCAGAGUUCUGUGAGUGAUAAGCACGUGUCACAUGGGUGUAACAGCUCACAGUGUGCUCAGUAGUGAGCCGAGGCCGGUGCUUAUGGUUUCAUGCCUCACAAUUUACACGUGUUUGUCCCAGUACAUAAGCAUGUACAUGCAUAUACACGCGUUUAUACAUUCCACAUAUGCAUAUACUGCCACACAAACACCUUCACACAUCCACAUCCAUAUACAUGCACCACACAUGUACACACACACACACACACCUGUAAACACAAAUAGACACACACACACACACACACACACACACACACACACACACACACACACUGCCUCUGCUCCUGUCCCCAGCAUAUCUCCCACAUCCUUGAACUCAUCUCUUAGCAGCCCUUUAUCCACAGCAAGAACUGAGCAGGGAAGUGACGGUUGCUCCAGGGAUGGCGGUGGCCCCUUCCACACUGCACCAAAGCAAUCCACGGAGGGAAUCCUGAAAAAUGAGAGAAAGCAGGAUCCAGAUCUUGACGGCGGCGCUGUGAAUGUGGAACUAGAGAUCCCUCCCAGCUGCCUUUGCCCACCAACACAGCCUGACCUUCCUUGAGGCCACUGCCUCCCAGGGAGUGCUGAGUUCCCUUCAGAGCCCACCAGUGGCUUGGCUUUGUUCUAUACCUGUAACUUGAUUGCAGCCCAGCAGAACCAGCUCCCCCCCAGGGUGGAAGGUCAUCUUCUGGUUGAGGCAGAAGUCUGGGGACAAGUGCGGUGGGGGAGGGAUCUGGCCAUGGUCCCUGCUGUGCCUACAGCACAGAUAUUCAGGGUACAAGGGUUCAAGCAGAAACAUCUGGAUUCUGGGCAUGCUGUUGUGAGGUAUGUCCACAAGAGACCACCACACGAACAUGCUUAAAUGCUGGUUGGUGACUGCAUGGGGGACUUGCCCAAACCAUGCAGCCUCGAGCCAUAUAUCCCUUUGUCUUUUAUGCACAAAAGUCACAUCCUUGUUGUCACACUUCCAUUAGCACAAAAACAGAACUACACGAAGCCAUAAAGCAAGGUUCAUAUAUUUGGGCCUUUCCUGGAACUAUGGACCAGGUCUUUGAUGGAUUAGGUCUUUGAUGCUGUUUUAGCAGGAGUUGAGAGUCCAUGGGGUCUCUUGGUCAGAUGCCUCUAACAUGGCGUCAGUUAUGCUGAGGUCUUUGAGUCUGUUACAGUGUGGGCAGAGGAUGGCCGUGAGUUGGGGCCGGAACCACACAGGAGCCUGAGCCAGCAGGGCUGUCAGCAGCCACAGCCCUGAUUCACCCUCAGCUUGAACUCUGCAGGACACGUGGACGCAAACCUAGUCAGGCUCUCCUGCAGUCACCUCACUGCCAACACAGCUGUGUCUGCUCUGCCGAGGCUGCAGCAGGGUCCCCUGUACCUCCUUGUGGCAUCAAGAUGCAGAGAGCCCUGCAGAAGGGACAGACUGCCUGCUGGAGAGGAGCUGCCUGCUCCACACACCCCAGGAUGGAGGAAGAAGGACAGAAUCACAUGCGAUGUGCAUGUGGGACUGCACGCGUGUGCCUUGUGUGUGCCUGUGUGGCUGCUGGGGUGUGGAGAGGAUACAGGGACUCUCGGAGGCGGGAAUGUCCAGAGUUGGACAGAGAGGGUGGCCUGGGUGCUUUUCAUCAGGACACCUGCUGUCUCAGAGGAACCCAUGGGAGGACAGACCAGGAGAGCCGCUGUGCCGCGGGCACCCUCUGCUGGCUGACUUGGCAUCUUACACCCCCAGCCCCAGGGAUAGGAAAUUCACCCAACUGAGAAAACUGGUGUUUGGAGGGAGGUAAGUGUUAGUGAGAAAGAGGACUUCUGUAUCAACGAACAGUAGAACUUGGGGAGCCCUGUGUAAGCUCAGUUCCCUAUCAUUCCCAGCCUGCCCAGGUCACAUUUCUAUAGUUGCUGUUCAGGAAACUGUGGCCCUGAGGCAGGGACGGCUCUCACUUUUAGAAAUGUCUGGCUUUCUCCCUCUGGGCUCCUUCCUGCUUUGAGAAAUCUCAACACUUGGGGGCAUUUGGCGCUGCCCUGGAAUGAGGUCUCUCAUUGGCUACAUAAAGGCCAAAGGCCAGGCUGCCCUCUGUCCUGUCCUAAAGAAGGUCUCUCCAGCCGGGCGGUGGUGGCACAUGCCUUUAAUCCCAGCACUCAGGAGACAGAGCCAGGUGGAUCUCUGUGAGUUCGAGGCCAGCCUGGUCUACAGAGUGAGAUCCAGGACAGGCACCAAAGCUACACAGAGAAACCCUGUCUUGAAAAACCAAACCAAAUCAACAUACAAACAAAAAGAAGGUCUCUCCAAAGAGCUAUGCCUUGAGGGAAGAGGGAGAGCAGAGCUCUCCUCCAAUUCUCUUCCUUCAUGCACAUACGCCUCAGUUUUCCCCAAGGUUUGUCUCAGAAGUCGAAAUUACUUAGAUCCACCCCCUUUUACAGGGGCUUAUGACUAUAAAGGGAAUCGGUUGGAUAAAUCAUGGGGGAAAAGAAUGUGGAAUCAGUUGCCUUUUAUGGGAAGGCUGAUUAGAAGCAGAAAGGUAUAGUGUACAUAUGAUAGGCAGACAAGGUCAGCUAUAUUGAGGGGUAUAGCACCUGUGCUAAAGAGGUGGGCUAAGGCUCUUGGCGAGGACUUUGUAACUGUCUUUAAUAAAUUACUAGAAAUGGAUCACUAGUUAUUGAGUACAUGAUCUGGCUCUUAGGGUUCAGGCCACAGCAUGUCUCUGCCUGAAAGGAUUAAUCAUUCUGAAAACCACAUUGUGUGACCACAAAAGAUUGCAUCUAUUGUUUUCCUUUUGCCCCUGGACUUAGUUCCUUGUUAAGAUUGCACAAAAUCUCAGCCUGAUGUUCAGUAAAUUUGCAGCAGUUUCACAGCAUA
This is a long non-coding RNA of Peromyscus californicus insignis, 5327 nucleotides long. RefSeq lists it as uncharacterized. The record is from RefSeq and is a predicted model, not a curated record. Lineage: Eukaryota; Metazoa; Chordata; Mammalia; Rodentia; Cricetidae. The transcript has 6 exons.